AAUAUUGCACAAUGGGGGAAACCCUGAUGCAGCGACGCCGCGUGAGUGAAGAAGUAUUUCGGUAUGUAAAGCUCUAUCAGCAGGGAAGAAGGGGGCGGGCUUGCCCGCCCGGACGGUACCUGACCAAGAAGCCCCGGCUAACUACGUGCCAGCAGCCGCGGUAAUACGUAGGGGGCAAGCGUUAUCCGGAUUUACUGGGUGUAAAGGGAGCGUAGACGGCAAGGCAAGUCUGGAGUGAAAGCCCGGGGCUCAACCCCGGUACUGCAUUUGAAACUGUCUAGCUAGAGUGCAGGAGAGGUAAGUGGAAUUCCUAGUGUAGCGGUGAAAUGCGUAGAUAUUAGGAGGAACACCAGUGGCGAAGGCGGCUUACUGGACUGUAACUGACACUGAGGCUCGAAAGCGUGGGGAGCAAA
This 413-nucleotide ribosomal RNA is filed under the name uncultured bacterium. RNAcentral describes it as "bacterial SSU rRNA". It matches the Rfam family "Bacterial small subunit ribosomal RNA", at positions 360 to 772 of the family's 1533-position model. The record is from RNAcentral.